AUGGCGCUCGGUCAUCUGCUUUGGUCGCCGUGCCAAGUACGAAGAUGGGAAAGAUAAGACAGAAGCUUGAUCAGACGUGCAAGGAACGGAAGACGCAGGAAACUAGGUCAGUCAAGCAUUAGACGAAGAUGGCUAAAUCAGGCCAUCACAUGUCUGGUGCGGCUCUGCGGUGUUCUGGCACGGGGAUUUCCAGUUCUGCGAAGUUUUUCAACUUUCCCUAAUUACAGCAGCAGGUUAAGAAUGCCCAGUCACUGGUCACUACAUGUCCAGAAUGCUAGCUGAGCUCUGCGAGAAGAAGUGGGCUUAGUGUUCCUUGAACGCUCAGCGUCAGAGGAUACAGAGAGGUUCAGGCCCAUUAAAGCCAACAGGAGGCUUGAAAGACCGGACCCGGCAGUUUACGGCAGAGG
Non-coding RNA from Dermacentor andersoni, 407 nucleotides. The record is from RefSeq and is a predicted model, not a curated record. Lineage: Eukaryota; Metazoa; Arthropoda; Arachnida; Ixodida; Ixodidae.